AGCGGGGUGGAGGAACGGUACCUCGUGAGGCCCAUAACCUCAAGGAGCGGGUUCAAUUCCCGCCCCCGCAA
This 71-nucleotide transfer RNA is filed under the name Patescibacteria group bacterium. RNAcentral's name for it is "tRNA-Met". It matches the Rfam family "tRNA". From Rfam's summary of the family: Transfer RNA (tRNA) molecules are approximately 80 nucleotides in length. Their secondary structure includes four short double-helical elements and three loops (D, anti-codon, and T loops). Further hydrogen bonds mediate the characteristic L-shaped molecular structure. tRNAs have two regions of fundamental functional importance: the anti-codon, which is responsible for specific mRNA codon recognition, and the 3' end, to which the tRNAs corresponding amino acid is attached (by aminoacyl-tRNA synthetases). tRNAs cope with the degeneracy of the genetic code in two manners: having more than one tRNA (with a specific anti-codon) for a particular amino acid; and 'wobble' base-pairing, i.e. permitting non-standard base-pairing at the 3rd anti-codon position. The record is from RNAcentral.